RNAcentral lists this transfer RNA (70 nucleotides) under Pternistis bicalcaratus. RNAcentral's name for it is "tRNA-Pro". It matches the Rfam family "tRNA". Rfam says of the family: Transfer RNA (tRNA) molecules are approximately 80 nucleotides in length. The record is from RNAcentral. Lineage: Eukaryota; Metazoa; Chordata; Aves; Galliformes; Phasianidae.
CAGAAAGUAGUUUAUUUAAAAAUGCCGGCUUUGGGAGCCGGAGAGGGGGGUUUGAGUCCCCUCUUUCUGA